Molecule: ribosomal RNA, 824 nt
Filed under: uncultured bacterium
Lineage: Bacteria
Description: bacterial SSU rRNA
Rfam family: Bacterial small subunit ribosomal RNA
Source: RNAcentral
ACCGGCGCACGGGUGCGUAACGCGUAUGCAAUCUACCUACAGCAGAGGGAUAGCCCGUGGAAACAUGGAUUAAUACCUCAUAAUACAGGGGUCCCGCAUGGGGAUAUUGUUAAAGACCCGAUAGCUAUCGGGUUCGGCUGUAGAUGGGCAUGCGUCCCAUUAGCUAGUUGGUACGGUAACGGCGUACCAAGGCGAUGAUGGGUAGGGGUUCUGAGAGGAUGAUCCCCCACACUGGUACUGAGAUACGGACCAGACUCCUACGGGAGGCAGCAGUAGGGAAUAUUGGUCAAUGGACGGAAGUCUGAACCAGCCAUGCCGCGUGCAGGAAGACGGCCUUCUGGGUUGUAAACUGCUUUUAUCAGGGAAGAAUAAGCUACUUGCGAGUAGUGAUGCCGGUACCUGAAGAAUAAGCACCGGCUAACUCCGUGCCAGCAGCCGCGGUAAUACGGAGGGUGCGAGCGUUGUCCGGAUUUAUUGGGUUUAAAGGGUGCGUAGGCGGCCUGCUAAGUCAGUGGUGAAAGGUAUCAGCUUAACUGAUGACGUGCCAUUGAAACUGGCGGGCUUGAGUACAGACGAGGUAGGCGGAAUUUAUGGUGUAGCGGUGAAAUGCAUAGAUACCAUAAAGAACACCGAUAGCGAAGGCAGCUUACUAGGCUGAGACUGACGCUGAGGCACGAAAGCGUGGGGAGCGAACAGGAUUAGAUACCCUGGUAGUCCACGCUGUAAACGAUGAUUACUGGAUGUAUGCGAUACAUUGUAUGCGUCUGAGCGAAAGCGUUAAGUAAUCCACCUGGGGAGUACGACCGCAAGGUUGAAACUCAAAU